Sinocyclocheilus grahami is the source of this 156-nucleotide small nuclear RNA. Its record names the gene U2. It matches the Rfam family "U2 spliceosomal RNA". From Rfam's summary of the family: U2 is a small nuclear RNA (snRNA) component of the spliceosome (involved in pre-mRNA splicing). Complementary binding between U2 snRNA (in an area lying towards the 5' end but 3' to hairpin I) and the branchpoint sequence (BPS) of the intron results the bulging out of an unpaired adenosine, on the BPS, which initiates a nucleophilic attack at the intronic 5' splice site, thus starting the first of two transesterification reactions that mediate splicing. NCBI's taxonomy places the organism in Eukaryota, Metazoa, Chordata, Actinopteri, Cypriniformes, Cyprinidae. The record is from Ensembl.
AAAUUUAUUUUCUGUUCUUAUCAGUUUAAUAUCUGAUACGUCUCCUACCCGGGGACUGCAAAUUAAAUGGAUUUUUGGAUCACGGAGCUGGAGCCAGGGCUUGCUCCGUCCACUCCACGCAUUGGCCUGGUAUUGCAGUGUCUCCAGUAAUGGUGU